GAAAUUAACAUAUUUAAUACGAAACCAGCAAAGUAUAUAGGUCAUGUGCAAUGCAAAUUCUGUUUAUGUAUUGUGAUAAUUGAUUUAUCACAUAAUUAUUGAAAUUUCUGACAGACCAGUCAAAAAUCACAUAACCUCAAUUCAGUGAUAUGAUAUGAAUAUUAUAGAGAAAGAGUGCUCAUAACCCCUAUGG
This is a long non-coding RNA of Ctenocephalides felis (cat flea), 193 nucleotides long. RefSeq lists it as uncharacterized. The transcript is spliced from 3 exons. The record is from RefSeq and is a predicted model, not a curated record. NCBI's taxonomy places the organism in Eukaryota, Metazoa, Arthropoda, Insecta, Siphonaptera, Pulicidae.